AUGCUACUACAACCGAGGGCGAAGGCCACCCUGGUUCUUGGAGGGGAGUCGUUCGCAGUCAGCUCUGAGUUAGGUGCCCUGUCGGAGCAGCUGGCGGCAAUGAGGGAGAAGAGCAUGGUGAUCCUCAAGGACUACAUCACCAAGCACAACGCUCCAAAUGAUGUCCCUGAUGAAUCCAUCGAGGGCUGA
RNAcentral lists this ribosomal RNA (189 nucleotides) under Triticum aestivum (bread wheat). RNAcentral's name for it is "partial small subunit ribosomal RNA". The record is from RNAcentral. Lineage: Eukaryota; Viridiplantae; Streptophyta; Magnoliopsida; Poales; Poaceae.